AGUGGGAUAGCUGGGUCAAAUGGUCAUUCCAUUUCAAGUUUUUCAAGGAAUCUCCAUACUACUUUCUGGAUUGGUUGCACCAAAUUGCAGUCCCACCAGCAAU
Molecule: microRNA precursor, 103 nt
Filed under: Marmota monax (woodchuck)
Lineage: Eukaryota; Metazoa; Chordata; Mammalia; Rodentia; Sciuridae
Source: RNAcentral